Long non-coding RNA from Numida meleagris (helmeted guineafowl), 1219 nucleotides. The record is from Ensembl. NCBI's taxonomy places the organism in Eukaryota, Metazoa, Chordata, Aves, Galliformes, Numididae.
GUGAAGAGGAGGUAUUAAUCUCUGAACUCAGUUAUAAGACAGGAAUGCCUACUGUCGAGCACAUGUCUAUACAUGAGCCAAAGGGUUUAUUGCAUAGGCAAUGCCAGAAGACAAUUAUGACAAUUAGGCAGUCUUUUUGACCUGUUUUAAAUGGACUAAUAGUAGGGAUUAUUAUCAGUUUGUAUUUUGUUCCAGUAGCAAUCUGGAUCUGUCUGCACUGAGGAUUCAGCACAAGCUGUGCAAGCACAGAGACCAUUUCUGUCUAGUCUGGCAUGCUGCUGAGCUACAGGAUGGGGACAAGGAACAGCGACGCUGGCAGAGAGCAGAGGAACCACCCCAGGCUCACUGUAGCUGAUGCUCACAAAGUGGUGGCACAGCUAUAUGAAAGGACUGUUCAUUUUCAUCACCAUAUAAAUAAUGCUAUAAUAUUAGCAGUUUGUGGUUUCUGCUUCAGCUCUGUGCCUCAUUUCUUGUGGCAUGUAGAGUAACGGAAUUCAGAAGGAAAUGUAAUUAUCCUUCCCAAUUCCAAUCCUGCCCAGCUAAGCCAGAACUGAGCCUUAGCGCUGGGAGAUGGGCUUCUUUGUGUUAGCAGUGGGUUCCCUGAGGGUACACAUGCCUGGAAGAAGAAAGUAGCGCUCAAAAGAACCAAGAAGGGAAUCAGCUGCUGCAGUCAGAAGCUAUUCAAAGGAGUAAAAGCAGUUUUGGUGGUUCAUUUAAAGCCAAGAGGAAAUAAGAUUUCCACUUGGAGAACAGUGCAAGAAAACAGAGCUUAGUGUAGACUGCUGGGAAAACGAGUCUAGAAGGUUCACAGAAGACUGCAAAAGCCAAGAUGCUCUGGAAGGGAGGCGGCUCCUCUCUGAUCCACCAUGUGGCUGAAAGGAGACCAAGGUGCUCAUGCCUGCCAGACACUGUAAUUCCAACACUGAGGUCACUAAUCACACAGUAUGCCGUACUCCAAAGAUCAGUUUCUUCUCCCUGGAUGAGGAACACAGCCCUUGUUUCCUCCUUGUGCUCCAAGAAAGUGAAAGGAAGAGAGGACUAGCCACCAGCACAGCAUUCUCCAGAGCUGUCCCCUGGACAGGGCUGCACCCCCAUCACACCACUCAGUGAGCAGGCAGAACUGGCUGCACUCACUUCUUGGACAACCUUGUGCCUUCACUGACACAAACAGGACCAUAACUUUAAUAAAAAACAGCAGAGCUCAGUCUAGUCUUAACUU